Molecule: ribosomal RNA, 253 nt
Filed under: uncultured bacterium
Lineage: Bacteria
Description: partial 16S ribosomal RNA
Rfam family: Bacterial small subunit ribosomal RNA
Source: RNAcentral
UACGUAGGGUGCGAGCGUUGUCCGGAAUUAUUGGGCGUAAAGAGCUCGUAGGCGGUUUGUCGCGUCGGCCGUGAAAUCUCCACGCUUAACGUGGAGCGUGCGGUCGAUACGGGCAGACUUGAGUUCGGUAGGGGAGACUGGAAUUCCUGGUGUAGCGGUGAAAUGCGCAGAUAUCAGGAGGAACACCGGUGGCGAAGGCGGUUCUCUGGGCAUGUCCUGACGCUGAGGAGCGAAAGUGUGGGGAGCGAACAGG